Molecule: ribosomal RNA, 494 nt
Filed under: uncultured bacterium
Lineage: Bacteria
Description: partial 16S ribosomal RNA
Rfam family: Bacterial small subunit ribosomal RNA
Source: RNAcentral
GACGAACGCUGGCGGCGUGCUUAACACAUGCAAGUCGAACGGUGAAGCGCCUUCCUUUUUGGUGGGUGUGGAUGAGUGGCGAACGGGUGAGUAACACGUGAGUAACCUGCCCCCUUCUUCUGGAUAACCGCAUGAAAGUGUGGCUAAUACGGGAUAUUCUGGGUCUGUCGCAUGAUGGGUCUGGGAAAGAUAUUGUUUCGGUGGGGGAUGGGCUCGCGGCCUAUCAGCUUGUUGGUGGGGUGAUGGCCUACCAAGGCUGUGACGGGUAGCCGGCCUGAGAGGGUGGACGGUCACACUGGGACUGAGACACGGCCCAGACUGCGACGGGAGGCAGCAGUGGGGAAUAUUGCACAAUGGGCGCAAGUCUGAUGCAGCGACGCCGCGUGAGGGAUGGAGGCCUUCGGGUUGUGAACCUCUUUCGCCAGUGAAGCAGGCCUGCCUCGUUUGUGGGUGGGUUGACGGUAGCUGGAGAAGAAGCGCCGGCUAACUACGUG